Molecule: long non-coding RNA, 417 nt
Filed under: Cyanistes caeruleus (blue tit)
Lineage: Eukaryota; Metazoa; Chordata; Aves; Passeriformes; Paridae
Description: lncRNA (ENSCCEG00000005266.1)
Source: RNAcentral
CUUUAAGAAAACCUCCCUAUGCCAUGAUCAACUUCUUUUUAAAAGUUAUGGUUAAAAUCAUUCUCUUCACAUUUUAUUUCCAGACCUUAUGCAGUAUUCUGGUAGGCCCCAUAUCAGCCCCAUCGGCAGCCCCAUUUAGAUUUCUCUAAGCAACUUCAAAAUAUUUGCUAAAUACAUGAAGGAAGGAAAAACUCCAUCACCUCAUCUGUGAAAAUCAACAGGAAAUACCAUGCAGUACUCCUAUCCCCAUCAAACAAUGUUAUCUUCAUAUGAGCAGAUUAAGAAAAAAAUGUCCCACAGGAGAGGGGAGUCAGAAACUGUGUGAGUGCUGUCCAGGAUCAAGCAGCUACACCUACACAGCCCCAAAUUUGAGAAAGGAGAUUACAAAAAGUUGGGCAUUGUGGUGCAUGACAUGGC